CCUAUCUCUUACGUGACACAAGAUCGGAUUCCACUUUUCUAGAACCAACGUUUCCAAGCAAGCAACAACAAAAGAGAAUCCACCUUAUUGUUGUAUCCUAGUUUCGGUGGUCACUCUUCUCACUAGAGAGAGAGCUUGUUACAAGUCUUACAAGACUCCCAAAUAUCAUCCAAACUAAAAAUCCUACAAUGUUCCUUUUAUAUC
RNAcentral lists this long non-coding RNA (204 nucleotides) under Capsicum annuum. Its description in RNAcentral is "long non-coding RNA (CANN_LNC010468)". Lineage: Eukaryota; Viridiplantae; Streptophyta; Magnoliopsida; Solanales; Solanaceae. The record is from RNAcentral.